RNAcentral lists this ribosomal RNA (320 nucleotides) under uncultured bacterium. RNAcentral describes it as "bacterial SSU rRNA". It matches the Rfam family "Bacterial small subunit ribosomal RNA", at positions 28 to 348 of the family's 1533-position model. The record is from RNAcentral.
GACGAACGCUGGCGGCGUGCUUAACACAUGCAAGUCGAGCGGUAAGGCCCUUUCGGGGUACGACGAGCGGCGAACGGGUGAGUAACACGUGGGUGACCUGCCCUCCAGCUCUGGGAUAAGCCUGGGAAACCGGGUCUAAUACCGGAUAUGACCUCAUGACGCAUGUUGUGAGGUGGAAAGCCUUGUGCGGCUGAGGAUGGGCCCGCGGCCUAUCAGCUUGUUGGUGGGGUGAUGGCCUACCAAGGCGACGACGGGUAGCCGGCCUGAGAGGGCGACCGGCCACACUGGGACUGAGACACGGCCCAGACUCCUACGGGAGG